Molecule: ribosomal RNA, 389 nt
Filed under: uncultured bacterium
Lineage: Bacteria
Description: bacterial SSU rRNA
Rfam family: Bacterial small subunit ribosomal RNA
Source: RNAcentral
AUUGAACGCUGGCGGAAUGCUUUACACAUGCAAGUCGAACGGCAGCGCGGGGGCAACCCUGGCGGCGAGUGGCGAACGGGUGAGUAAUGCAUCGGAACGUAUCCUGUAAUGGGGGGAUAACGUAGCGAAAGUUACGCUAAUACCGCAUACGCUCGAGAGAGGAAAGUGGGGGAUCGCAAGACCUCACGUUAUAGGAGCGGCCGAUGUCCGAUUAGCUAGUUGGUGGGGUAAAGGCCUACCAAGGCGACGAUCGGUAGCUGGUCUGAGAGGAUGAUCAGCCACACUGGGACUGAGACACGGCCCAGACUCCUACGGGAGGCAGCAGUGGGGAAUUUUGGACAAUGGGCGAAAGCCUGAUCCAGCCAUGCCGCGUGCGGGAAGAAGGCCUC